RNAcentral lists this small RNA (45 nucleotides) under Planctomyces sp. SCGC AG-212-M04. Its description in RNAcentral is "Acido-Lenti-1 RNA". It matches the Rfam family "Acido-Lenti-1 RNA". Lineage: Bacteria; Pseudomonadati; Planctomycetota; Planctomycetia; Planctomycetales; Planctomycetaceae. The record is from Rfam by way of RNAcentral.
CCCAGGGCGUUGCCCUGGGCUAGGUUGUUCCGCCCCUUCGGGGCA